RNAcentral lists this ribosomal RNA (254 nucleotides) under uncultured bacterium. RNAcentral describes it as "partial 16S ribosomal RNA". It matches the Rfam family "Bacterial small subunit ribosomal RNA", at positions 524 to 776 of the family's 1533-position model. The record is from RNAcentral.
UACGUAGGUCCCGAGCGUUGUUCGGAAUGACUGGGCGUAAAGGGUGCGUAGGCGGUGUAGCAAGUUAGAAGUGAAAUACCUAGAGCUUAACUCAGGUGCUGCUUCUAAAACUGCUAUACUUGAGUGCAGUAGAGGAAAGUGGAAUUCCUAGUGUAGCGGUGGAAUGCGUAGAUAUUAGGAGGAACAUCAGUGGCGAAGGCGACUUUCUGGACUGUAACUGACGCUGAGGCACGAAAGUGUGGGGAGCAAACAGG